AGUGAACGCUGGCGGUAUGCCUAACACAUGCAAGUCGAACGGCAGCACAGUAAGAUCUUGCUCUUACGGGUGGCGAGUGGCGGACGGGUGAGGAAUACAUCGGAAUCUACUUUUUCGUGGGUGAUAACGUAGGGCAACUUACGCUAAUACCGCAUACGACCUACGGGUGAAAGCAGGGGAUCUUCGGACCUUGCGCGAUUGAAUUAGCCGAUGUCGGAUUAGCUAGUUGGCGGGGUAAAGGCCCACCAAGGCGACGAUCCGUAGCUGGUCUGAGAGGAUGAUCAGCCACACUGGAACUGAGACACGGUCCAGACUCCUACGGGAGGCAGCAGUGGGGAAUAUUGGACAAUGGGCGAAAGCCUGAUCCAGCCAUACCGCGUGGGUGAAGAAGGCCUUCGGGUUGUAAAGCCCUUUUGUUAGGAAAGAAAAGCAGCAGGUUAAAACCCCGCUGUUCUGACGGUACCCAAAGAAUAAGCACCGGCUAACUUCGUG
RNAcentral lists this ribosomal RNA (492 nucleotides) under uncultured bacterium. RNAcentral's name for it is "partial 16S ribosomal RNA". It matches the Rfam family "Bacterial small subunit ribosomal RNA", at positions 29 to 507 of the family's 1533-position model. The record is from RNAcentral.